Molecule: ribosomal RNA, 429 nt
Filed under: uncultured Lactobacillus sp.
Lineage: Bacteria; Bacillati; Bacillota; Bacilli; Lactobacillales; Lactobacillaceae
Description: bacterial SSU rRNA
Rfam family: Bacterial small subunit ribosomal RNA
Source: RNAcentral
UAGGGAAUCUUCCACAAUGGACGCAAGUCUGAUGGAGCAACGCCGCGUGAGUGAAGAAGGUCUUCGGAUCGUAAAGCUCUGUUGUUGGUGAAGAAGGAUAGAGGCAGUAACUGGUCUUUAUUUGACGGUAAUCAACCAGAAAGUCACGGCUAACUACGUGCCAGCAGCCGCGGUAAUACGUAGGUGGCAAGCGUUGUCCGGAUUUAUUGGGCGUAAAGCGAGCGCAGGCGGAAUGAUAAGUCUGAUGUGAAAGCCCACGGCUUAACCGUGGAACUGCAUCGGAAACUGUCAUUCUUGAGUGCAGAAGAGGAGAGUGGAACUCCAUGUGUAGCGGUGGAAUGCGUAGAUAUAUGGAAGAACACCAGUGGCGAAGGCGGCUCUCUGGUCUGCAACUGACGCUGAGGCUCGAAAGCAUGGGUAGCGAACAGG